Molecule: transfer RNA, 89 nt
Filed under: Acidobacteriota bacterium
Lineage: Bacteria; Pseudomonadati; Acidobacteriota
Also listed under: 1 other name
Description: Acidobacteria bacterium tRNA-Leu
Rfam family: tRNA
About the family: Transfer RNA (tRNA) molecules are approximately 80 nucleotides in length. Their secondary structure includes four short double-helical elements and three loops (D, anti-codon, and T loops).
Source: RNAcentral
GCUGGAGUGGCGGAAUUGGCAGACGCACGAGACUCAAAAUCUCGCGCUGGUUACCCAGCAUGGGGGUUCAACUCCCCCCUCCAGCACCA